Molecule: long non-coding RNA, 692 nt
Filed under: Dasypus novemcinctus (nine-banded armadillo)
Lineage: Eukaryota; Metazoa; Chordata; Mammalia; Cingulata; Dasypodidae
Description: lncRNA (ENSDNOG00000052421.1)
Source: RNAcentral
UCCCUCCCUUAAACACACGGCUUCACCCCUCUAGUUUGCCCUGCUCCUUUUAUUGACGCGAACCUCCCGUUCUCGCGGGAACUUGGAAGCGGGAGCAGGGUAGGGUGGACAAAUCUCUCGAAAUCUCAGUUGGCGCUGGAGUUGGAGCGGCGGCCCGAGCUCCUGAGGGUCGGGGCGGGGCCUGGGACCUGGAAGGGGCGGGGCCUAAGCUCAGAGAGGGGAGGGAAGAGGCAGGAGGGGGAGUUGAGAAACACCAGGGGCGGGGCCGCGCGGCCGGGAACCUGUUGAUCGCAGGUAGAGCCCAUCGGCCGUGGCUCCCGCGGGACUGGGGCGACUGCGCAUGCUCGGUGGCCGCGCUGGGCCAGUCGCCGAGCCGCGGAGACGAACCGAGUCUUCGGCUGCGGUGGUUGCGGUUGCAGCGAUGGCGAUGUGAGGGGCCCCGGGGAGGGAUGGUGCUGACCUGGGUAGGGCCGUCUUCUUCCAAGCAGGACAACGAGCUCCUCCCCGCGACAGGCGGUGGAAGAGGCGGGGCCGGGCGAGAGGAGGAACAAUACAUUUUUAACAAGAAUCAGUAACUGGAAGUACAAAAUUGGUUAUUUAAUGUUAAAAUGAAGUUUUGAUCAGCAGAGGUAAGAUCAUUUGUUUUCUAUUUAAUGAGUAAUAGAUUAGAAUAUUUGUAAAAUUUCUGUGAA